GUGAAUCAUCGAAUUUUUGAACGCAAAUUGCACUCUCCUCGGAGAGUAUGCCUGUUUGAGGGUCAGCCUAUAAAAAAUCGACAUCGUUGCUGUUUUGCGGUGGCGCUCGUCGGAAAUUGUGUCAUCAUAAAUCUUUUGGUUUUAGGCGACUUAAUAUUUUCUUUUUGAUUCCAUGAACGUAUCUAAGAUUUAUUUCUUUACACUUUUAAGGUAUCGAUUUUUAUUAGACGUGUC
This 234-nucleotide unclassified non-coding RNA is filed under the name Glomeraceae sp. Its description in RNAcentral is "partial contains 5.8S ribosomal RNA and internal transcribed spacer 2". The stretch from base 1 to 65 matches the Rfam family "5.8S ribosomal RNA", at positions 84 to 154 of the family's 154-position model. Lineage: Eukaryota; Fungi; Glomeromycota; Glomeromycetes; Glomerales; Glomeraceae. The record is from RNAcentral.